AUUUUGUUAUAUUUUCUUGGUGAUGGAGGAAAGCGACUGCCUUGCUGAAAUAACCUGAAGGAGCUCUUUAUUCCUGUUUCCCAUCACAAUUACAGUUCUUUUAGAUGAAAAUCUCACCUGCAUCUCAAUAAAACCGUGUGCUUUUAGAUUGAGGCCAAAGGUGCGGUUUUAUGCAGAUGAUGUGGACCUUCACUCGGUCAGCAGGACUACGAGGGUAAAAGUGGAACGCCAUGUCGGCCCCUUCGCGCCCGGACAGGAAAAGGACACCUGCAGGUUGUUUCUGACCAGGGAGGAUUAUUUUUGUACGUUUGUUGAGGCAGCGCUUCUCCUCAGUCGGAACCGGAGCUUCGCGCGCCGUGGAGGCUGUAGAGAUUCUCACAUUUAGAGGUCGCAGGAGACAUUCAAAGGGGGAGAACUUUGAAUUUCCAGCAAUUAGCUCACAGAAAAUCUCCUUCUAAUUUUUUACCAGGUUUUUGAUACAGCCUCAAGUUGUUUUUGAUUAUUAAAAGAAAACAUGAUUAAUGAUUAGUCUUCUGUGAUUUGUAAAAUCUUAGCCUAGAACUAUAAUUCAAUUAUGUACACUUUCUUUUUCUUUUUUCAUGGGUCACAUUUUCAAGUGUUAUUGUUUUGUUGUGUGUUUGAAUAUCAAAAUGUAUUACCCACUUUACAAAGACGGACAUAUUUUAUGUUAUCCCAGAUUUUAUUUCUAUGUCCUUUUACGUUUGCUAAUGAGUUUCAACUGAAAGUGACCCUUUGCAAUAAUGAUGUAAGACGCCGGCCGCUCGCUGGCUGGUUGAUGCAGCAGUUGUCAUCAUAUUGUUGGUUUUUUGCAGGAUGCCAAGGCUUUUUUGCUUAUCAAGUGUGCAUUGUCAUAAUAAAACCAACUGGUACGAUAAAAAAGAUCAACCUCCUUCAUUUGUGUAUCUGGGUUUCACCUUCUUGCUGGUUGUUUCCAUUUUCCAAACAUGACUGAUGUUCAUGGAUGAGCUUUUUGAUCAUGUCACUUUUCUUAUUGUCCCGCUUAGCGUUGAAUGGACGAAUCAAUAUGUCAUCUAGAUCUCUGGCGCUGCUGCCUGGCAACCUUCAGCGGCCUGUGAGCUCGCUGUGCCGUCCCUUCUGUCCUAAUUUGUUCUGCUAUUGAGUGACUGGUGGGCCUGUGCAGUUUGAAGGCUCUGCUGUGAAACAGCCCUUCGGUCUCUGCACACAUCGCCGGCCAUCCUUUGCAUUGAUUGCUCCCAGUAUCGAUUCCAUGUAAACAAUUGGGCUGGCAUCUGUUGCACGUCCGGAGUCGUUCGUGCCGGGGUUUAAUUUGGGGGGAGGGCAGGCGGCGAGGACGAGUGCGUCACCAAGACGCCGCUAGACGCUGAAACGGAUAAACGGAUAAAUGCCAAAUAUGAAUGGCGGUCUGAUUGAGACGAGAUGUCCUUCAGAGGCAGAGGGGGCUCAAUCAAGACCGUCAUGAUAAUAUGUCAAAUGACAGUAAAUAUACGUAUUUCAGCCCGUAGACCACGAGUCACCGUAGGACGGCACGAGCACGUUCUCAUCUCAAAUGUGCUGGAAAAUGUGAUUGGAGGAUUCUGGAAGAUUAUAAAUGUGCUGAGGUUGCAUUUCCCCCCCCGGGCCUUAAUCAGCCGCCUUCAAAGCACCAGACGAGCUCAAUCCAUCACAGGGAGGUUUGCUGAGAGUGAUUUGUGGAGCCUCUUUGUCUGCGUCCCGUCGCAGCAGGAUGAAACAGUCCGACCCCGACGGCGAGUCCUUCCGCGUCCACGCCGAGCGACGGCGGCCGCUCGUCCCGGUUUAUGUAAGGUCCUCGUGAAUGGAGAGGCCUGGUUGGUACUUCAUGGAGCCUCUAAGAAUAGCCGAACUGUACUUGAUAAAUAGGAGUACUUCCCAGAAUAGAACAGUGCCCCAGAGUGGCAUCAGUUAUCAGCAGUGAAGAGCCGGGUUCCUAUUCUCUGAAUUCUGAUUGAUUGAGCUGGAUGUUUAUACUGAGGAGAUUCAGUUAUAGUACAUUUCCACAUGAAGAGAUGAUGUAUAAGUGCUAGAAAGAGACUCACAAGUCAAAAGAAAUUAGAACUUAAACCGUGUCCAACUUAUUUUAUGGAAAUGUAGAAAAAUGAGCACAAUAACUUUGUCUUUGUCAUUUUCUAAAUGAGAGCAUGUGAGUUAUCGGUGAGGAACGUUGACCCUGUUUAGGGGCGAAGCGGCUCUCCACCUUCUGAGGGUCCGACCGGCGAAGUACGUGGGCUUCUUCUAUUAACCGAUCAUGGACACGGUCUCAGAUGGUUCCUCUUCCGUCCCGUCGUCCUCUGGCUAAAACAACCAGACUCAUCUUCACCAAAUAUUGGUCUCACUACGGUCUUUAAGUUCAACUUUCAAAGCGACUCGAUUCUCCUCUCAAACCCUCAUUUCAUAUUGCUGGUUUGGGGCGACCGCCUCCUCCCCCACGGUGAACUCUGUCCUCUGAGACCUCACAGAUGGACCAUGUCAACACCACGAGGACGACAAUGCAAGAGCAGCCGGAUCCUUUGAAGGUCUCACUGGGGUCUGUGGAGCCUCCAGAAUCCACAGGCAAAGGAAGCUGUAACGUUACGUCAUGCAGGAGACGUUCAGUCACGUCUUAGAGACCCUAGUCUGUGUGAAGACUUAAGCCGUCCCAAAAGCGUCCUCGCUUCAUGGUCUGUUUGACUAAUGACUCUGCUCUAUACUUUACUAAAUGAACAUCAUGCUGUACUGAAGGAGACUUGAGACGAAGGUGGAGAACCAUUAGCUGUGUCCCUCAUUCCCCGGCCUCGAAUGUGUCUUUUGGUGCUUGUCCGUCCACUGAUCCGGCGUGUCCACCUGGUCGCGGGACGUGUGGACAGACACUUGUCUGAUUCCCAGCGGUUUUAAUGGAGGCCACUGUGCGUGAAGCUCCAGUCCAAUCACUCAUCCUGUCACCGUGAGUGUUGUUGACCUCGUGUCCUCCAACAGAGGUGUGUGAGUGUCCCUCCUCUCCUUUAGUCCCGCCCCCCUCCCCCGCACGGCGGGUUCACCUGUCGAGGUCACUCUGACGCGCUCACACCUCCGGGUCCUCGAUCCAUCUGAGCCGCACGUCUAAAGGACUCCUCACAGACGGGACGUCCAGGCGGGGAAUUGAAGCGUUGACCUACUUGAGCGGACAAAUGACCUGAAGGCGUUUGUUCGUGACCGCAGUGCCUCUUGUUCGCUUCCGUUCAUCAAUCCCGCGCGUCGAGGACGUCUGAUGAGCAGCAUUACGACGUUACAAUGAGCUGCAGGCCCAGAACUCUAUAAAAACACAUUUAAACACAUUUCACUUUGAUUUAAUGGAGCCAAAGCAGAAGGUCGCCAGUAUGAACGGAAGCUACCAUCGACGCUGUAGAAGAAGGACCACCUCACGGAGGCUCCGCUUCGGUAAAUCAAGUGUUAAUAAUAAUAAUAAUAAUAAUCGACAUGCGCGGCCCUCCAGCCAUGUGGUCUUAUCUCACGUGUCUGGACCAGUUGGAUAAAUCCCAGUGAGCGAGACUAACAACAUUCACACUGCGGGAAACAAACAUCACAGCUCUGGUUUAUUACUUCUCACACGCACACACACACACACACACACACACACACACACACGGUUAGCAUUCUGUCUCAGCGUGUGAAGCGCUGCUCAUUUGUGUGUUGAUAGCGUGUAAUCUCCCAGGUGCCUGGUGGAAUCUGUGAGCACCGUCCUCCUGACAUUUGCAGAAUGCCAAGCGACGCCGCGCUCCGCUGUCCAAGGUGGAAGCGUGUUGUGCCGGUGUGUGUGUGUGUGUGUGUGUGUGUGUUGUCAUGCCUCAGUGUAUUUGUGCGACUGAUUCGGUUGCGUGGGCCGUUCCAGCGACGUCACAGUACCACAGAGCUCAAAGUCAGAGCCACUACCUGCGUCACUCACACUGCAAAUCACUCAGACUACAACGUCAUUCACCAUUUUCACUGAAUAGAGCUCGAAGUGAGAGAAAGAAAAGUGAGUUAUUCUGCCACACUGAGGGAGCAGCUGCUGCCACACAGGCGCCGGCCUGCAGGAAGAUGUCGGGUGUCUCGCUCAGGGGCACUUUAACACGUGGAGCAGCUGGGGUUCAAACCUUCAACCCUGCGGUCACCAGGGCACCUUCUCUUUCUGUGGCCGAGACAAGGGGCCCCGCGCGCUGCAGUUAGCACGCUAGCUGGCUAACCGGCCAGCUUCAAUGCGUCCUCCGUACGAUACGGUUUCCUCCUCUCGUCCCACGAGGUGUCCGAGGGAUUAAGCCCAUGUUUGUCAUCUUUGUGUCUGACAGGAUUUUAGUUUUAUAAACUUUCAACAAUGCUUGAGUAGUUAUAUUUCAUAACCACAGCUAAAAGUCAUUUCUACCACAAUAACUGGAUGUAUGUCCUUCUGCUUUAUUCUUGUAAUGGUUUCCGUCCCGUUUGGGGCGAAAGGGACCAAAGAGGCUUUGAGAUAAAACAAACUGGAAUGGAACAAGCUCCAAAAGGUGCCGCUGCUCCUUGUUAAAACGAGCUCACAGGACUCCAAUGAUUCAGGUGCCAGCUGCGCGUAACAUCUGUUUUAACGGCGGGUCAACGAUCGAUUUGAAACCACAGACGCCGGUUCUGCCCGAGCAGAGAGGCUUUCGUACACUGAGCGAUAAUAUAUGCGAGAUAUCUCCCCGUGUCAAGGACAGAAGCGCUGCUCUGACUUUGACGGAGGUCACUUCGCCCUGUGGCGUCACGCCACUGAGUGUUAUCAGUUUAACACGGACCCCCUGAGACGUGUCCUGUUUGCAAUAUUUACUCAAUGACCAAACUCCAGCGGAUUCCCACCUUUUCAUCGCUCCCCCCGAAGCUCCGACUGGGGGAACGCCUGGCAUCCUGCCAAUGUCGCCACAUGCCGAAACAUGUUGCUACAUGAUGCUACAUGUUAUGUCGCCACAUGCAGAUACAUGUUGCUACAUGAUGCUACAUGUUGCUACAUGAUAUGUCGCCACAUGCCGAUACAUGUUGCUACAUGAUGCUACAUGAUAUGUCGCCACAUGUCGCCACAUGCAGAUACAUGAUGCUACAUGUUAUGUCGCCACAUGCAGAUACAUGAUGCUACAUGUUAUGUUGCUACAUGCCGUUACAUGUUGCUACAUGAUGCUACAUGUUGCUACAUGAUAUGUCGCCACAUGCCGAUACAUGUUGCUACAUGAUGCUACAUGAUAUGUCGCCACAUGCCGAUACAUGUUGCUACAUGAUGCUACAUGUUAUGUCGCCACAUGCAGAUACAUGAUGCUACAUGUUAUGUCGCCACAUGCAGAUACAUGAUGCUACAUGUUAUGUUGCUACAUGCCGUUACAUGUUGCUACAUGAUGCUACAUGUUAUGUUGCUACAUGCCGUUACUUGUUGCCACAGGCUCCGAGAUACAGACACCAUUUAAAGUAUCAGUGUCCCUCCUCUUCUUCCUCCCCCUUUCUCUCCCCCUGGGCGUGUGGAUCAGAGGAGCUCGAGCCAGAGAAUAGAGGGGGAGGGAGGAUACAAACUGUCCUCAGCCAAGGUCUUUUAUUCGUCCUUCUCCAUCAUGACUCAGGAAAGAAGGGCUGAGUCAUUCCUCUGUACCACGGGGGAUGAGAAUGUCAGAAAUACAGUAAAAUAUCUUUAGAAAAAGCUCCUCGUCAUCGUGGAUCAAAGCAUUGUGUUGCCUUUGUGUCUUUGCGUUGAGUAAUGACCUGUUAUGUCCGUAGGAUUCUUAGUUUUCCCCGUUGUACAUUAUGUGGGUUUGCUAUGAAUGGAUUUGGGCGCCUUCAUGCACGUAGCCACAGCUCUGCACGCCGUGGGAGAACAGGCUGUUUGCAGCAGCGAGAAUGAAUUAAAGGACAACGUGCAUGUUGAGACCUCACUUCAUUCCUCCAAACCCUUUCACAUAUUAAUGGGCGUCCAGGCCAGAAGGUAGUCGGCAGGCUGAUGGUUUUCUGCUUGGCAGCGUGUUUUUCCUUCAGCUCUGCAGGAGUGGUAAAAGGUCAGGAGAGACGGGGAGACGUUCACAGCGAAAACUACAUUCAAGCCCAGAAGCCCGGGGAGAGCUUGGAGGCUCCGGUGGGCCCGACUGGACUCAUUAGUUAGAACGGCUGGCGCUCCGCUGUGGGUGCGAGGCCAGAAGAUCUGACACAAACAAAGCUGUGAAGUUAUUUUUUUAUCUUCAUUAGGAGCGAUUCACGCAAAGCGUCGAUGAAGACGAGUCGCUGCUCGGCUGAAAGGAGCUGCCUCUGACCUUGAGAGGGAGGGAGGUCAAAAGUUCCUUCUUCUCAACCUGACCUCAUGCAGCACUUUCCCACUGUUGGAAAUGUCUACAUGCAGACCUGCAAAUAAACACGCAUUUGUUCUCAUCUUUAAAAUAUAGCAUCAUAUUUGAGCCAAAUCACAAAUCUGUCAAGAAAGAUGGAAGUAGCUUUAAAGCUGCAUUUUAUCUUAUGGAAACCAGGGGCGACUGUGUGUAUAGAUAUAUAUAUAUAUAUAUAUAAUAUCUGUCACUACAUUUUGGGGCGAGGGGUCCGCAAAAUAAGUCAAAGAGACACUGAGUUAUGUCAAUAAAGAUGUUGAAAUAUUUAGUUAUGUUUAAUGAAACACUUGUAUGUGGAAUGAGACAUGAAGCCAGCGGCUCUGUGAGGAGACAGAGAGCCACCAAACAGAGUCCAUCAGCAAUUAAGAAUCCCAACCCCCCCCCCCCUCACGUCUCCUUGAACUCUAUUGGACGGCGGCGGCUGUGAUCUCGGCGUGCAGUUGGUCACUGUCAGGACGCCGCCCGUCCAGCUGAGGACGGGACGCCAGUUUACAUAAUGGAUUCCCAUCAGUGUCUGCUGGCUCAGACCAACGGCAUCGCGAGGUGGGAGAAGCUCAUUGAUGAGCAGAGAGAUGCGGUGGGAUGCAACGGGGUGAUGUUGGAUGCCGUUGGCUGCGGUGGGAUGCGGUUGGAUGCGGUGGGAUGCGUUGGAUGCCGGUGGGAUGCGGUCUUGGAGGCCUGGAUGUUGCCAUGUUUCAUUAAUUCAAGCAGGGAAGGAAGCGUCACCCUUUUGUUUUCAUAUGCAGAUAUUGUGAUCAUAUUGUGGUCAUUUAGAUGAUUGAACUCAUGCAGAAAAAUAUCCAUUACUGAAAUUCCUGAUAUGUUUAAAUUAAAACAAAUUAUACUUCAGUAAUAUUUGCCUCACAGGGUUGUGGUUACAUAUUAAUUAAACCUUGAUAUUCAACCAAAAACAGUAAAUUCAUCCUUCAUCACACAGAUCAAAUAUCAAACUAUAUCUACACACUGAUCUCCAUCAGGGCCGCACAAUUUAUCCAAAGUACUAAUCCAACUUUGGCUUUGAGCAAUUUGUUUUAAAUAUAUGAAUGUUCUGUAGUAACGUACAGAAGGACUUAUGAAAGCAAUCUUACCCCCCUGCCUCCCUCCCUCCCCCCCCUCCCUCCCCCUAAUACACAAACAAUCCACACUCGCCUCGGCCCGUUAAAUAAAACAUGCUGAAACUCUCUGUAAUUCCCCUUUAAGCGUCUGUGUACUAAUUUGUUUUUCCUGAAGCAGCGUCACGAGUCACUGCGGCGUUUCUCCAUCGGUAUCGAUGUGUUAAAUAUUAACCGCUGUCAGAAAAACUCUGUUUUAUGAGGACUGAUUUCAAGUUGGGACUCAAAUGGAUGAAAUCGAUUCAGUCAUCUCAAACACGCGUGUUGUUGACGUGUGGGAGACGUUUCCACAGCAGGAAUCACGUCACCGUCGUAAUUAGAUCAUUAGAACAAACAACGACUCCAUAUCUCCGCCAUGCAGCACCAGAAGGUUUGGACGCGUCCUCCGCCGUGCGUCUCUAUCUGGGUGGUUUUGUACUGUAUGUCCCUCGGGGCCAUCACGCAUGACGCAUUCCACAUAUGAAGGACAAGUAGUUUCUCACUGAUCCACAAUGCUCCCAAGUACUAAAAUAGAAUCAACAUAGAUCAGUGUUUUCUUUCUUUGAGGAACAGGAAGAACCUUCUGAAGGCUCAAGGGAUAAAUAAUGAAUUAAUUAAUAAAGAUCAAAUGGCACCAUAUCGUUCCAGGAUGCAUCUCAGCGCAUGAUUCAUGUUUCCAUUUGUUCCGUUGUGUUUCUGAACAAGAGAUGAUAACGUUGGAAAUGUUUCUCUUAAUCAGGUGUUCCAUUUCUGUACAGACAGACAGACAGACAGACAGACAGACAGACAGACAUGUGCCGUCAGCUGCUGACAACCUAUUGUCAUUGCUAACAGGCCGCGGCAGCCUGGCGACUAAUUAGCGACCCUUUUUUGCGCUCAUGGGGGUCUGGAGAAAUGCUUUGAGAGGCGGCGCCAGCAGGAAAGUCACAGGCGGGUCGGGCUGAGCGAAGCCGUCACGCCAUCGGGACGGAAGACAAGAGAACUGUGAAAAUGGCCCCUCAGCGCCGGGAGCAAAACUCUCACAUGGAGCUCGGCGUUGGCUGCGAGUCCCCCCGUCCCCCGUCCCCCCGUCCCCCCCUCCGGCCUGAUGGGGGUGGGACGUGGAUCUCCUUUAACAAGACAGACGCUCGAGACUGAAGGUCACGGGUCCUCAGCACACCACGGGGGGCCAAUGUGCUCCGUCCAAGGAGCAAAACCGCUUCCUACACGAUCGGCUCCAGAUUUACAUCCACGAAUACGUCGUCUAUAAAUGUCGCUUCACGUCUCUAAUUAUCAUUCUACGUCCACAAACGCGUCAAACAAGGACCGAUGUAUUCAGUUUUGGUUUGAAGUGUUUCUGACACUUGUCUCUUCAGUCUGACCUCAACGUUGUGUGUUUGCAGCCGUGAUCGUCACUCAGUGGACAAUAUGCAUCAAUAUAAGAGAAAUAAAAGUUGUUCAGUGGAAUUCUUCAUGUACUGUACUGCUUGUUUCCACGUGACAAUGAGGUCUACCAAUGUUAUGAAUAUUUCAUGUUACAUCACCUUCUUGCACAGAUGCAUUGGUCACAUGACUGUCGGUCAUGUGUGGUUUAAUAUCAUCGUGAUCCGGACCCCUUGAGGUGAGGAGACAUCGUGCAAGCUCAGCAGGCGUCAUUAAAUUCUGGACUUUUGGGUUAUUCCAUUUUAAAAACUUUUAAUCUCUAAUGUCCAAUAAAUGCUGAAGCAGAUAUAAUGUGGGAGAAAAAUAGGAUUAAACUUCAAUCAUUUGCGGAUGAGUUGCCUCCCAUUGGUCCGGCGUCAUUAAAAGUCAGACGUUUCCCUCGCUCGGAUCGCUCCAAACAUUUUCAUUUAAUUCUUACGGUGUAGAUCCAAGGAAGCAAAAUUAAAACAAGUUUUUCUUAGAAGAAGAGAAAAAACAUGGAGUCAGUCGGCCGUCUGAUGGAACCCUAAAGCUCAUGAGCGCCUCCAUCUGACCCCCCAUCUGACCCCCCAUCUGACCCCCCAUCUGAC
Long non-coding RNA from Gasterosteus aculeatus aculeatus (three-spined stickleback), 9402 nucleotides. The record is from Ensembl. NCBI's taxonomy places the organism in Eukaryota, Metazoa, Chordata, Actinopteri, Perciformes, Gasterosteidae.